UUGAAUGUACCAGCAUACAUGCUUCAGAAUUUGCACGUAAUAUAUGGUUUCUCCAGAACAGGUAUACACUACAAGAAAAAGUGACUUCAAAAAUAAUAUGAAGUCCUUUUUAGCUUCAGUUUCUUAAACUAUAAUACAGGGCAGCUCAUAUUUCUUCAGUAACACUAAAACUUAAACAUCCCAUAGCCCAUAUUACACUUUAGUUUAUGCAGAUACUCAUCAUAAUCUAAUUACUACUGCGUUCGCAUCCUGCUAUUUUCAGCAGCCCUCACUUGG
Molecule: unclassified non-coding RNA, 276 nt
Filed under: Hevea brasiliensis (rubber tree)
Lineage: Eukaryota; Viridiplantae; Streptophyta; Magnoliopsida; Malpighiales; Euphorbiaceae
Source: RNAcentral